Molecule: non-coding RNA, 109 nt
Organism: Acanthosepion pharaonis
Lineage: Eukaryota; Metazoa; Mollusca; Cephalopoda; Sepiida; Sepiidae
Source: the annotation of a GenBank genome assembly
GCCACAUCAAGUUGAAACACCAAUUCCUGUAUGAUCACCAAAGUUAAGCAAAGUGGAGCCUGAUCAGUACCUAGAUAGGAGACUACUUCGGAAUACCAGGUGCUGUAAG